AUGCUCCCUUUGACAACACAUAUAUUAAAAUUGGAACAAUGCAGAGAUUAACAUGGUCCCUGAACAAGGAUGCCAUGCAAAUUCAUGAAGCAUUCCAUAGUUAC
This is a small nuclear RNA of Myodes glareolus (Bank vole), 104 nucleotides long. The record is from RefSeq and is a predicted model, not a curated record. NCBI's taxonomy places the organism in Eukaryota, Metazoa, Chordata, Mammalia, Rodentia, Cricetidae.